This 26-nucleotide non-coding RNA is filed under the name Mus musculus (house mouse). The record is from RNAcentral. Lineage: Eukaryota; Metazoa; Chordata; Mammalia; Rodentia; Muridae.
UAGGAGAAACUUCCCUUUGUUCUUCA